This is a long non-coding RNA of Elaeis guineensis (African oil palm), 541 nucleotides long. RefSeq lists it as uncharacterized. NCBI's taxonomy places the organism in Eukaryota, Viridiplantae, Streptophyta, Magnoliopsida, Arecales, Arecaceae. The record is from RefSeq and is a predicted model, not a curated record.
UCUCUCUUUUUUUUUUACUUUGAUAAAAAUACUGGUGCCUUUACGGUUUCCAUGGACAUGGAGUCAGGGAAGUCUUUCCUGGGGAUUAGGCAGUGGAUUGGUGCCACGAUCAUCACUAACAACACGGCUACAAAAUGAUUGAUGACAGAGGCACCCUUUGUUCCCAGAGAGAGGCUUUUUAAACAGCAGCAAUAUUUCCAGAGUAUUCAUAGACAUACAUACUUGAAAGGACGUUAUGACAAGAUCACCUCAGUAGCUAUACCCCUUGCACUGACCAUCUCCACUGGAUUUCUCAUUCUGAGAGGUUGCUAUAACAUGGCUCUUGGUAUUGGGAAGAAGGCUUGAGAAGAAAUUCCUGUUUCGUUCAAUAAAUUGUAUGGGGUGAUGUCCCCCACAAUGGAAAAUUCAAUGGUCUACUUCGAUCCUUGUUCUUGAUAUUUUGGGUUGUUAUUUCCAAUAAUUUGUUAUAUGCACUUACAGAAGAGCUGUGAUUAAUCUCUACUUUCUCACUUGCAAAAGUAAAUGCAUUGUUUCUUUAUAU